Small nucleolar RNA from Lynx canadensis (Canada lynx), 130 nucleotides. Ensembl annotates it as small nucleolar RNA SNORA40. The record is from Ensembl. NCBI's taxonomy places the organism in Eukaryota, Metazoa, Chordata, Mammalia, Carnivora, Felidae.
CACACUUGUGCUUGUUUUUGUUCAGUUUUUUGGACAAAGACUCAGACAAGUACAGAAAAUGAAUCCUCUUUUGCAACCCGAAACUCAUGGCUCAGUAUGAGUUGUUUUUUUUUUUUUUUCAAUGUUUAUU